GUUGACCUCGGAUCAGGUAGGGAUACCCGCUGAACUUAAGCAUAUCAAUAAGCGGAGGAAAAGAAACCAACAGGGAUUGCUCUAGUAACGGCGAGU
This 96-nucleotide ribosomal RNA is filed under the name Cladosporium cladosporioides. Its description in RNAcentral is "partial 28S ribosomal RNA". It matches the Rfam family "Eukaryotic large subunit ribosomal RNA", at positions 1 to 94 of the family's 3401-position model. The record is from RNAcentral. Lineage: Eukaryota; Fungi; Ascomycota; Dothideomycetes; Cladosporiales; Cladosporiaceae. RNAcentral also lists the same sequence under 1 other name.